Molecule: non-coding RNA, 78 nt
Filed under: Lactobacillus apis
Lineage: Bacteria; Bacillati; Bacillota; Bacilli; Lactobacillales; Lactobacillaceae
Source: RNAcentral
ACUAAAGGGGUGCCGUUAGGCUGAGAAUAUACCCAUUGAACCUGCUUUGGACAAUGCCAGCGAAGGGAAACUAAUUAU